CGUUUGCCGUUCGCGUGAGGGAUAGAAGAGAAAAGCCCACAGCCUGACGAAGGAAGUGCGAGGACUUGAAACGCAUAGCCCGACCCGCC
Molecule: small RNA, 89 nt
Filed under: Flavobacterium sp. 9
Lineage: Bacteria; Pseudomonadati; Bacteroidota; Flavobacteriia; Flavobacteriales; Flavobacteriaceae
Description: Flavo-1 RNA
Source: RNAcentral